This 460-nucleotide ribosomal RNA is filed under the name uncultured bacterium. RNAcentral describes it as "partial 16S ribosomal RNA". It matches the Rfam family "Bacterial small subunit ribosomal RNA", at positions 338 to 795 of the family's 1533-position model. The record is from RNAcentral.
CCUACGGGGGGCAGCAGUGAGGAAUAUUGGUCAAUGGACGAGAGUCUGAACCAGCCAAGUAGCGUGAAGGAUGACUGCCCUAUGGGUUGUAAACUUCUUUUAUAUGGGAAUAAAACGUUCCACGUGUGGGAUUUUGUAUGUACCAUAUGAAUAAGGAUCGGCUAACUCCGUGCCAGCAGCCGCGGUAAUACGGAGGAUCCGAGCGUUAUCCGGAUUUAUUGGGUUUAAAGGGAGCGUAGGUGGAUUGUUAAGGCAGUUGUGAAAGUUUGCGGCUCAACCGUAAAAUUGCAGUUGAAACUGGCAGUCUUGAGUACAGUAGAGGUGGGCGGAAUUCGUGGUGUAGCGGUGAAAUGCUUAGAUAUCACGAAGAACUCCGAUUGCGAAGGCAGUUCACUGGACUGCAACUGACACUGAGGCUCGAAAGUGUGGGUAUCAAACAGGAUUAGAUACCCUUGUAGUC